RNAcentral lists this ribosomal RNA (245 nucleotides) under uncultured bacterium. RNAcentral's name for it is "partial 16S ribosomal RNA". It matches the Rfam family "Bacterial small subunit ribosomal RNA", at positions 524 to 768 of the family's 1533-position model. RNAcentral also lists the same sequence under 1 other name. The record is from RNAcentral.
UACGAAGGGUGCAAGCGUUAAUCGGAAUUACUGGGCGUAAAGCGUGCGUAGGCGGUUUCUUAAGUCUGCUGUGAAAUCCCCGGGCUCAACCUGGGAAUGGCAGUGGAUACUGGGAGGCUAGAGUGUGUCAGAGGGUGGUGGAAUUCCCGGUGUAGCGGUGAAAUGCGUAGAGAUCGGGAGGAACAUCAGUGGCGAAGGCGGCCACCUGGGACAACACUGACGCUGAGGCACGAAAGCGUGGGGAG